RNAcentral lists this ribosomal RNA (465 nucleotides) under Vreelandella stevensii. RNAcentral's name for it is "partial 16S ribosomal RNA". It matches the Rfam family "Bacterial small subunit ribosomal RNA", at positions 338 to 795 of the family's 1533-position model. Lineage: Bacteria; Pseudomonadati; Pseudomonadota; Gammaproteobacteria; Oceanospirillales; Halomonadaceae. The record is from RNAcentral.
CCUACGGGUGGCAGCAGUGGGGAAUAUUGGACAAUGGGGGGAACCCUGAUCCAGCCAUGCCGCGUGUGUGAAGAAGGCCCUCGGGUUGUAAAGCACUUUCAGUGAGGAAGAACGCCUGGUGGUUAAUACCCAUCAGGAAAGACAUCACUCACAGAAGAAGCACCGGCUAACUCCGUGCCAGCAGCCGCGGUAAUACGGAGGGUGCGAGCGUUAAUCGGAAUUACUGGGCGUAAAGCGCGCGUAGGUGGCUUGAUAAGCCGGUUGUGAAAGCCCCGGGCUCAACCUGGGACCGGCAUCCGGAACUGUCAAGCUAGAGUGCAGGAGAGGAAGGUAGAAAUCCCGGUGUAGCGGUGAAAUGCGUAGAGAUCCGGAGGAAUACCAGUGGCGAAGGCGGCCUUCUGGACUGACACUGACACUGAGGUGCGAAAGCGUGGGUAGCAAACAGGAUUAGAUACCCCGGUAGUC